RNAcentral lists this ribosomal RNA (563 nucleotides) under uncultured Alphaproteobacteria bacterium. Its description in RNAcentral is "partial 16S ribosomal RNA". Lineage: Bacteria; Pseudomonadati; Pseudomonadota; Alphaproteobacteria. The record is from RNAcentral.
GUCGCAUGCUCCGGCCGCCAUGGCGGCCGCGGGAAUUCGAUUUUACCGCGGCUGCUGGCACGAGUUAGCCCGAGCUUAUUCUCCAGGUACUGUCAUUAUCAUCCCUGGUAAAAGAGCUUACGACCCGAAGGCCUUCAUCACUCACGCGGCAUUGCUGGAUCAGGCUUUCGCCCAUUGUCCAAUAUUCCCCACUGCUGCCUCCCGUAGGAGUCUGGGCCGUGUCUCAGUCCCAGUGUGGCUGAUCAUCCUCUCAGACCAGCUAAGGAUCGUCGGCUUGGUAGGCCUUUACCCCACCAACUACCUAAUCCUACGCGGGCUCAUCCUUUGCCGAUAAAUCUUUGGUCCGAAGACAUCAUCCGGUAUUAGCAGUCAUUUCUAACUGUUAUUCCGAAGCAAAGGGCAGAUUCCCACGCGUUACGCACCCGUGCGCCACUAACCCCGAAGGGUUCGUUCGACUUGCAUGUGUUAGGCAUGCCGCCAGCGUUCGUUCUGAGCCAUGAUCAAACUCUAAUCACUAGUGAAUUCGCGGCCGCCUGCAGGUCGACCAUAUGGGAGAGCUCCCA